This 62-nucleotide transfer RNA is filed under the name Fukomys damarensis (Damara mole-rat). It matches the Rfam family "tRNA". From Rfam's summary of the family: Transfer RNA (tRNA) molecules are approximately 80 nucleotides in length. Lineage: Eukaryota; Metazoa; Chordata; Mammalia; Rodentia; Bathyergidae. The record is from Rfam by way of RNAcentral.
GGGGAUGUGGCUGUGUGGAAAGCACUUGCCUAGCAUGCAUGAGGCCCUGAGAUCCAUCCCCU